AUCCUUUUGUGGUUCAUAAAUGUAAUGAUUGAGUUUCUUACACUCAUGUGUGAGAUGCACUUCUCUCAAAACUUGUUGCAAUGUUGCCAUACCAGGUUGAUG
Cebus imitator (Panamanian white-faced capuchin) is the source of this 102-nucleotide small nucleolar RNA. RefSeq annotates it as small nucleolar RNA U13. The transcript has a single exon. The record is from RefSeq and is a predicted model, not a curated record. Lineage: Eukaryota; Metazoa; Chordata; Mammalia; Primates; Cebidae.